UACAGAGGUGGCAAGCGUUGUUCGGAAUUACUGGGCGUAAAGGGCGCGUAGGCGGCUUGGUCAGUCCCGUGUGAAAUCCCUCGGCUCAACUGAGGAACUGCACGGGAAACUGCCUGGCUUGAGUUCGGGAGAGGGAAGCGGAAUUCCGGGUGUAGCGGCGAAAUGCGUAGAUAUCCGGAGGAACACCGGUGGCGAAGGCGGCUUCCUGGACCGACACUGACGCUGAGGCGCGAAAGCUAGGGGAGCAAACGGG
Molecule: ribosomal RNA, 253 nt
Filed under: uncultured bacterium
Lineage: Bacteria
Description: partial 16S ribosomal RNA
Rfam family: Bacterial small subunit ribosomal RNA
Source: RNAcentral